GCCUCCCCGGCGCUGGGAGGGCGGGGAGCGGGGGCCGGCACUGGCGGCGCCGUGAGUGAGCCCUUUGUGGAUGAAGCUGCUUUUCGCCGCGAUCUCCGCGCCGGAGCCGGCGGGGCCGCGCCGCCGCCGCUGAGGGGCACCGGCGCCCGGGCAGAGCCGCCGGCAGCAUGCGGCGCCCCCCGCUCUUCCUCCUCCUCCUCCUCCUCCUCCUCCCCGCGGAGCCGCUGCUCUAGAGCCCGGCGCGGCGAUGGGCAGCGCUGCCCGCUGAGCCGCGGCGGGGCUCCUGCGAGGCUGCGGGGAUGUGGCGGCGGGCGGCGGGCGGCGGGCGGAGCGGGGCCAACCCCGCCGGGCCCGGCGGAGCGCCCGGCACCGCGCCCCCCCGCAGCCCUCCGCCGUCGGGCGGCCGAACGGGCCUGGCCGGGGCCGUCGUGCUGCUGGGGGUGAUCGUCGCCCUCCUGCCCAGCGCCCGGGCCGAGCCGGUUAUUGGGCAACAGCAUAUCAACGUUGCUGCUUCUAUGGGAUCUUUUCCUAAUUGGAGAUCUAUACUAUCACCAACACGGCCUUCCACAGAAACUAAGACUUCCUCAGUAGCUGAUAUUUCUAUGGGACAGACUUUGGAGAACGCAAACUUGCUUCAGAUGAUAAAAACAACACUGACUGGCACGCGUACCAGAACUUCGGAUCAAACUCAUCUGUCGCCCACCCUUUAUCAAGGCAGUGGAAACAGUGCGCCCCAGGAACCCGCUGAGGUUUCAGCUGAGUCGCCUCUGAGGUCAUCACCUCAAGACACAGAUGAAACAGCUGCUGUAUCAGGUUUGCCUCAACUUGUGUUAUCUGGAGUAUCUUCUGGUGCAAUACCUACAGUAGGAACUUCAGAAGCAAAACCACUAACAAGAAAAUCAUCUCCAGCUUCACCAGUGCCAGCUUCUUCCUUCUUUUCUCUAGGCACUGAAAACACACCUUUGCCAUCUGUGAUGGCUUUAAGCACACCGAUACUGACACUAACAAAAAAUAACACUGCCACAAAAUUGACCUCGGACCUAGGCUCAGUAGAAACACAUACAGAUUUUCCUUUUGCAACAAGAAACACAAAUGCAUCACCUGUGGACGUGACAGCUAUGCUCGUAACCCCUAAGAGCAGCACGGUCACAGCUGCCCCACUCGCACCCACAGCACACGUACCCAGGCAGAUAGAAACCACAGUAACAGACACCCAGAAGUUCCCAAGCUCAGAAAUCACCAAAACGGCAACCCCGUAUCCACUGACAAUUACAGCAGCUUUGACAUCUAUUACAGCAUCAGCGAAAACAACUAGGCUUCCCCCUACUCCAGUGGAAAACAUCUCUGCUCCUCCCGAAACCACGGCAGCAGCCGCUUUCGCUAACAUGACAGCAGCUCCUCCCCUGGAUUGCCGGCUCUCCAGGAACCUUAUGGUUAAAACAGUUCUGUUGCUGAACACAAGGAGGAUGCUGAUCAGCAAUGCCUUCAAGGAGGGUGUGAGAAAAGGACUCAACCAAGUGCUGAGACAAGCUUUCAACCAAAAUGUCAGCGCUCAGGUUGAAAUUCUGGAGCAGUCAAAUAAUGUAACGGUUGGUUACUACGUUACACGGGGCAGGCUGGUUUUUAUGCCAGCUGCUGUAAUUGAAAGGCUUCUUGCGUAUGGCAUCAGCAACGCCACAGCGGACAUAAAGCAGCAUGUCCCACAUCUCCAGUCUGUGGCGGCCCUGGCCUUGCCGUGGAAGCCCCUUCCCGCGUACCACUUCCAGCUGAAAACAGAGCUGCAGUUUGUGGGUCAGACAGACAACAUACAGUCAUGCAAAUUUGUUCAGACCAUGGAGCAACGGUUACAGAGAGCGUUUCAGGAUGCUGAAAGAAAGGUCUUAAACACCAGCAACAACUUAACAGUUCAGAUUUUGAACACCUCCAAUGUCUCCCAAGCUGUCACUCUGUUUUAUGUAGUGAACAAUCAAAGCACAACUCUAAAUGGCACUAUUUCCAGCAACCUUCUUAAUCAGCUGUCAGCUGAGCUGGUGGGUUUCUAUCUAACCUACCCGCCUCUCACCAUUGCAGAAUCUUUGGAGUAUCCAAACCUUGAUGUCUCAGAGUCAACUAGAGACUACUGGGUGAUAACAGUUAUUCAAGGGGUUGAUAUUGCAUUACUGGGACUGAACAAUCAGAGCUUCGCAAGAUUAAUGGAGCAGCGUUUGGCCCCGCUGUUUAUGAUGUCCCAUCAGCAAGGAAGACGAUUCAAACGUGCCACUACUGUGGGCAGCUACACUGUGCAGAUGGUAAAAAUCCAACGUAUUCCAGGACCCAAGGAGCCGGCUGAACUGACGUACUAUACUUUAUACAACGGGAAACCUUUGCUGGGCACUGCAGCUGCCAAAAUUUUGAGUACUGUUGACUCCCAGCGGAUGGCCUUGACACUGGGUUAUGUUAUUCAAGUUCAAGCUGAUCCUGUGGUGAAGAACCCCCCGAACAACCUGUGGAUCAUUGCAGCGGUGCUGGCUCCCAUCGCUGUGGUUACGGUGAUCAUCAUCAUCAUCACAGCGGUUCUGUGCAGAAAGAACAAGAACGACUUCAAACCAGACACCAUGAUGAACCUGCCUCAGAGAGCUAAACCAGUACAAGGCUUUGACUAUGCCAAGCAACACUUAGGUCAGCAGGGAGCUGAAGAUGAGGUUUUACCUGUAACUCAGGAGACUGUCGUACUUCCACUUCCAGUUAGAGAUGCUCCUGCCUCCCAGGAGAGAGAAAUUACUCAGGAUGGGAGCACCAUCAAAACUGCCAAAUCCAAUGAAACCAGGAAAAGCCGGUCCCCGAGUCAGAACGGCUCCAUCAUCAGCAACGGGUCGGGAAAGCCCAGCUCCGGCCGGAGCUCGCUCCAGAAAGUAAUGGCACCGCAAAAAGUGACAAAAGACGAAGGAAGGAAAAGAAACGUGCCCGUAAGUGAUGAAGAGGAAGGAGGCAUUCUCUUUGAUAACAUCGCCAAAUCUGCCAUCGACCCCUUCGACACCUCUUCUGGAUCGGUACAGCUGAUAGCUAUCAAACCCGUGGCACUGCCUGCUGUUCAUGCUCCAUCAGACAGGAGCCAGGAAUCUGCCAUCAUUAACGGAGAGGUGAACAAGGCUUUGAAGCAGAAGUCCGAUAUAGAACAUUACCGCAACAAGCUGCGCUUGAAAGCCAAGAGGAAGGGGUACUAUGAUUUCCCACAGGUUGAUAGCAACAAGGGUCUGACAGAGAGAAAAAGGAUGUAUGAAAAAAACCAGAAAGAAUUUGACCACAUUUUGGAUCCAGAUGCAGAUGUCUCGUCUCCAUUUGCUGAGCCUAAGAACAGGCAACCGAUGAAGAACUCUGUAUACAGAAGCAGGCAGUCUUUGAACAGUCCUAGCCCAGGAGAAACUGAGAUGGAUCUUCUUGUGACUCGGGAAAGACCUAGACGUGGAAUCCGUAACAGUGGAUAUGACACUGAGCCCGAAAUUAUAGAAGAAACAAAUGUUGACCGUGUCAACGAGCCUCGGAAUUACACCAGGUCCCGUCAGGCCAAAGGCCACUCGGAGACCUCAACUUUAAGUUCUCAGCCCUCCAUUGAUGAGGUUCGACAGCAGAUGCAUAUGCUCUUGGAAGAGGCUUUCAGCCUGGCCUCUGCGGGCCACGGAGGACAGAGCAGGCAGGAGGCGUACAGCUCAGCACCACACUUGCCCUACUCGGAGGUUGUGACCAGUGCUCCUGGUACCAUGACCCGACCUAGAGGGGGGGUACAGUGGGUACCCACAUACAGACCAGAAAUGUAUCAGUACAGUUUACCGAGACCAGCUUACAGAUUUUCUCAGCUUCCUGAGAUGGUAAUGGGUUCUCCUCCUCCCCCAGUCCCUCCCAGAACAGGUCCUGUGGCUGUUGCCUCUCUCAGGAGGUCUACAUCAGAUAUUGGCAGCAAAGUGAGAAUACCUGAGUCCAGUGGGGCAGAUCAGGCCCAGCAUCAUGAUCAGGCGGCUUUUGCACCUGGUUCAAGAGCUCCGAUGUCUGUUGGUCCACUUGAUCAAUCAGCUUUUCACUCAGGAAAUACCGUACCAGCAGUGUUUGCCAUACCAGCAGCAAACAGACCUGGCUUCACAGGCUAUUUUAUCCCAACACCACCCACCGCAUACAGGAACCAAGCCUGGAUGCCCUAUGCUGGAGAGAAUGAAUUACCAGGGCAGUGGGCAGACUCAGUACCACUACCUGGAUACAUCGAGGCAUAUCCGAGGCCGCGCUACCAGCAUAAUUCUCCUUCGCGACUUCCUCGCCAAUACAGCCAGCAGGCGAGCAUGCAUCCCAGCCUGGAACAAGCUCCUCUGCCGUCCACCGCAGCUUCUCAGCAGAGCCUGACAGAAAACGACCCAUCUGACGCUCCUCUCACCAACAUUUCUACAGCUGCCCUCGUAAAGGCAAUAAGAGAAGAAGUUGCUAAACUGGCCAAGAAGCAAACAGAUAUGUUUGAGUUCCAGGUCUAAUAUCUUUUGUGCACAGUACUUGUAUCGUGCAACCUGGGGUAGCAAAGGAAGCGACUCCUUUAAUUUUCAGUUACAAACUUGCUGUGAAUCGUGCCACAGUGAUGGCAUUUUUCUCUGUCUGAAAAGUCAACGUUAUGAAAUGACUUAAAGUAGAGCCACAGGACUCUGAAGAUACAUAAUUCUGCUUGCCAGCUAAGGAAAUGCUGCCGGGUAACUGUUUAAUAUGGAUAAGGUUGAUCAUACGCAACUGUUUGUCACUUAGCUCUCGUGCUAUGACCCAUCAUCACUAGAGAUGCUGCUGGACGUGUCUGCGCCACACGAUGUUUCAUUUGCAGGCCCAAAGGUAGAGCUGCUGAAAAUAACUUCUGCAUGUCAAAACUUUGAUUAAAGAAGAAAAUACAGUAGAAUACGGUUAGCUAAAGGCCACGGGAGGUGUGGCGGUGGCCAUGUUAAUUGUUUGCUGCAGGGCAUUGUAUAAGGGAUGUUGAUUUCAGCAAUGCAGAGUCAUUCAGCCUUUUCAUUCUAGAGACCGUAUUCAAACCAAAAGAAUUCAAGAUGAGUAAGUAAUACAAAUAAAUGUCCUGUAAAUAGCCCUGAUUCUCCUCAUCCUAUUAACAGUACAAAGAAGUGAAAGAAGAGAAGACUGUGAAGAAGGUUAAUGAUAUUUUGAUAAUCGGUGGCUACCUUGUCCCUGAAUGCCACUGAUGAGUUAUGGAGGAGGUUUUUUUUCAGCAUGAGAGAAUAUAAUGCACGAAGAGCCAACAGAGGAUAUUGGUGCUAGAAGCUUCCAGGAGAAAUGAAAAAAGGUUAUUCGCAUUUGCUCUAUGUUCAGGCUUUUCACUCUGAAUGCAUGUGAAGCUGGUAAACUUGAGACCUUUCAGCAAGUCUUUCCAGCCUGGAAUAAUGAAUAUACCUGCUUGGACAAGAAAACCUCUGUUUAACACAGUGCUUUUUUCUCUUUCUUAAACAAUGAUAUCUACGAAAGUGAUGCCAGAAAGUGCUACUUGAAGCUGCAGUUGAUUUUGAUUACACUGGAACAGUGAAUGCACACCCAGGAAGUUCUGAAUGUAGAGGACCUGAUUAUUAUAUUAACCUGUAAAUAAGUAAACUGUUAGAUGAAUUAACAAAAAUACUAAUGUUUUGUGAAAAAGAGAACGUUUCCAGAAAUUAUGCUGACUUUAUAUUGUGCAAGAUAAAGGUGACUAAUUGUUAAACUGCAUUGUCGUAUGAUUCCAAUCCCAAAAGAAAAUCAAACCAGUUGAAUGGGACAGUAGUUCAUCUUUUGCAGUGGUACAAAACAGUUGGAGAUCAUGAAAAAUUGUUUUCAGUUCCUUUGGCAAUUAGCUUUGGGAACCGAAGUUGUUGCAAAAUUUGUUGUGUGGGGCAUGUUUGAUGUCGACUGGAAUUAAAGACUAACUUCGAAAAGGUGAGACAUGGAGGAAAGAAAAUGUAAGAUAAAAAUGCAAAGCAGGUAGAAAACGCAGCAUAGAAUUGAGUGGCAGAACUGACGUGAGGUCUCUGUCUUGUUUAAGGGAUGACACAUACAAAGCUAACUACUGGUUUUAUUGUAUUUCAAGAUGUUUGACUGUAAAGAAUGAAUAACAUUUUAAUGCACAUUUUUAGUCCUGCAUUGUGAAUCGCCGGUAGCCCAUGUAAAAGUCUAGGGAGCUUGAAAGCAGCAAGUCUUUCUGAGCUAGCAGGAGAAGUCACUUUGUUUUGCUGACCUUGUUCAUCCUGUAUACAUCUGAGCAGCUCCGAGAACUGUGUCCAAGGACGCUGUAAAUCAGUUACGGUCCUGAACUUGCAUCUCUUGCACAUAAACCAAUCUCAGUGGCUUCCCUUGCCUCGUUGACAUGAAAUGGGAUAGGGAGAGAACAAGUGUGAGAGAAUAUGAAGGAUAUUAACAGGUCAGGACCGCCUUAACUGUCUGGAAGCCGUGGAUCUCGAGCUGCAGGUUAACUCAUACCUAUUAGAAAAUGGUUGUGUUUGGCAGCUUCCUCAGCAAGGUGCGUUCCUUUCAUUGUCAAUGACCAAAAUGUAUGAAUCAAGACCUGGUCCUGUCACAGGAGAGUGUAUCAGUUCAUACUUCCACUCCUUUCUGUAAGCCACACGCAUUCUCUGCAUAGCUCCACAUGACAGUGGCAUAAUUAACGUGAGUCGUUUCCAUUUACUCAGAGUAAUCUCUUGUCAUAAAACACCAAGUUGUAGGGCACCUUAUAUAUAUUUUACUACAUCAUUGGGGGGGAAAAAAUAGACGUGAUCAUACAGUAUGUUAGUGUAUUAAUACCAUUAGCCUUUUUUUUUUUUUUUUUUUAAUAAAGGCUUUUUGAAAAAGGGAAAGUGUGGUCUGCUAAGAUCAAGACUGCUUACUAGUCAAAGUGUGCAGGGCAACUGCUCAGUAUGGUGUGGCUGAUGGAGCAGAUCUCUCCUCUCGCCACCUACUGCCCCUACAUGUAAGGGUACAAGCACACAGCUUUUUUCAGUAAGACAGACAUUAAUUAAUAAUAAAUUAUAUGGGGUAAUAUGUAUAUGGGGCAAUAACAUCUACAUAGUUCUCUGUGACCAUUCCAGAUGCAUUACUGGUCUGCUAAGCGAUUUUUUCAAAGCAGCGUGUGUUCAAAGAGAAAAGAAUCCGCUCAAGCUUGUUUACUAUAAUGUUAUUUAGACAUAGCACUGUAGACUUUGUAACAGUGCUAUAUGGAGUCAGAAUGCCAAGUGGUAAAUUACACUUUCUCUGCUGGACUUUCUUUUCAUGGGUUAAUUUUUUGGCCAUGACUCUAGGACUGAAUAAGAUUAUUUACGGUUUUUGCUUAUCAAAAUAUUUCAAAGUUCUAUUUUUCCAUUUUAAAGUGUAGGCAUGCAAAAUGAGGAUAAGAGUACUCAUUUAGAAUGCUUUUUUUGAACUCUUGCCUUUCUCUUGUAAAUAAAUAAUGUAAAACUCGACUUGGGGAAAUGAGAUUUACAUAGGUCAGUAAAUGAAUUGGGUACUGAUUUGCUCUUUAAAAGAAAGUUUCAAGAUAGCCAUGUCAGAAAGGCAGACUGGUUAAUACUGCAGAAUCUCUACUGAGAAUAACUGCAUCACACAUCCUUCAUCAAAAAUGUUUUGGCGUGCCCAAUGAGUGAAAAGCAAUCAGAAAACUGCACUGGGGGAUUCCUGUUAUCCAGGAACGGGCUGUAUACAAGACACGGGAGAUGGGACAGGGAUUUCAGUGGGGCUCCGGGGUAGGUAGGCUAUCCUAUGUAACAUGUUUGCCCUUUGGGUUGCCCUUGAUACCAACAGACGUAACAACUACAGCCACCAAAGUGGCAUGACAGGAAGGUGGUUUUAGGUCCUGAUUUUUAAAACUAUUGAGAUGACCCAAAAUCAUAUAAUAUUUCAUAUUUCUAAAAUCACCUUGAUACCAUUGAAAAUCCUUAGGCAUUUUUAAUAGGAGGCUGGUAUCAUACUCCUAUAUAUGUACGUAAAAGAUAUUUUUUGAAAACUAGUUCUUUGAUGCACCCAUUUGUCCCCAUCCAUGUCAGGUUCCUCAAGGUGCACAGAAGCAGUAAUGAGGAGUCGGUUCCUAGGGUUUUUCCAACCCUGAUCAUUCGGUGAUUCUGUGAAAGAUGAGAAAUGGGUUUUAAAUAGUUAGGUGGUCUAAUGUAUAGCAGAUGUCUGGAAAAUAAUUACAAAUACCCUGAAGAGAUGUUUCAGGAAUCUGAUUUUUUUGCAUUUGUUAAAAAUAAUUCUUAUUUUAAGAAGUGCCUGACUUUUCAUGAAAUGUCCACGCUCAAUUCACUCCCAAGGAGCAGCUUGAAACUAUAUUAUGUUCUGUAAAUAAUUUUGUAACUUUAUAAAUACAUAUUUACAUACUAGGCAAUAAUGGUCCAAAGGAUUGUAACUUACACAGGAAGUUGAUUCCACUGAGUACAACAUUUAGAGAGGAGGCAAUUUUUCUUCCAAAGUAUGUCCCUCUUCCCUGCAGCUCAGUGCAUUUUUAUGCUUUGUAAUCCAGUGUCUGAACACCAUAACAGACACUGGCAUCAGUUAAACUCUUGUGUAAAAUAUCUGGCGAAGAGCACUGGCUUUUGCAGCUUCCAGUGGGACCUUGUAAAGAGUGCCUGUGUAUAGGAUUAACUUUUUAAACUAUUAAACCAGAAAUUUCUGGGUCCUUAAGUCUGGCUUUUUGCAAGUAAUCGGUGGCUUUUACGUCCUGCAUCACCAGCAAACUUAACCAAUAGAUACUUUGAGACGUGAUGCAGCAGAACACAGCAGCCUGUGCCAGGGAUUCACCAGGACCUAAAAAACGAGGGACUGUAAUAGAAGAAUAGGUGGUAAACCUUUUAUUUCAGCAGUAGAUGGACACUAAGUAAUUAUUAAUUCAUUACUCUGGCAGGUCAAAGAGUCUUGAAGCUUACUGCUUGGAAUCAAUUUCAUGUAUUUGGUUAGCUUUUGAUUUCUUCACGUGUUAAAAGUGUGUGAAAAUAGCAACAUUAACAGUGUAUUCUAUUUCAGAGUUAUAAACAUGGGAGAUUUGAAUGUAAGUAAACUUGAGGUUUAUUCUUUGCCCUUGCCUUUAUCUAGUACUUUCAACACUGCAGAUAGGAAAAAAACCCACUUUACUCUCCAACAAAUUAAUUUUAAUAUUUCUUUCUAUGGGAAAGCUUUUUUCAUUUCAUGUUGGUGUUGGGUUCUUCAAACUGUAUUCAAGGUCAUAUUUGAUAGAAAAAAUGACAGUGAAGCCAAAAAUUUUGGAAAAUAAGAUAGAACCCAUCUUACUGAGGCUGGAGCUUUGGUUUAGGAUUUAGCAACUCAGCAGAAACAGCUCAGACCCAACAAAGGGUCUGUUCUGGGCAGUUCCUUGGGUUUCAUUAGAAAGGACAUGUGUACAGUGCAGUUAUUCCUAUGUUUUUUGACUUUUUAUUUUCAUUUAAUAUCUGUCUUGCCAUAGCUGUGCAUUUUGAAUUUGACUUUUACAUUGGUGUACAGAAAGAGGUGCGCUCUUUUAGCUCGGUAACCAACAUAUGUGAUAUAAUUUUUAUUUAGCUAUGGCACUGCGUGGCUUUGGCCUGUGUUCUGCUUUGUGAUACUUUCAGAUGUCACAUUAGUAUUAAGGUGACGUGAAUAUAGAUAACGUCUUCCAUUGAAGUUAUUGGAAAAACGUCUGCUCACUUCAAGGAGAGCAGGACUGAUCCAGAAUUCUCUCAGUGAAUUAACUAUCACAAGUAUCUUUAAAUUGUGCAAAGAUUGGAAGGAUGCUGUCUACUUACAGGUAGCUGGAAAUUAGAUAAGAGGUUGGUUGUCCCUUUUUCAUAAUUUCGGAUUGGUCCUGAGCAAGGCGCUUAUUCUGACUAUGCCUCAGUGCCUGUGUCCGUAAAGCAGGAUUAAGGGUCCGCCUCUCCUCACACCCCUGGUGAGAAGUUGAACUAAUUGAGAAUGUUAGAAAAACUGAAACCCUGGAGUGGAAGUGGAUACUUUAGUACAAAGCACUAUUUAUUAUUUCAUGGAGCUUUGUAAUUGUUCAAGACGGUAAAUUGCCUGUUCCUCUGGUAGCAUUUAAAUAUACAUAAAUUUACAAGAAAAAAACCCCAAAACCAAACCUCUUGAUGCUAUUUCAGUAUGUUCUAGGAAGCCUUUCCAAUAACAGCUUCUACACUUUUUUACAGAGUUGUUAUAUCAAUAAAUUGUCUCACUUCCCAUGCAACAGAUCUCACUUUCUGAUGAAAUUAACUUUUCUAACGUCUUUGAAUUAUGGAAAGGACUAGCUCUGCAUGAUUACAAAUAUCCAUGUAUCUUUGCUGUUCACAGCUUGACUCAACUAAACUGUAAUGGCCGUGUCUCUGAAAAUUGCUCAAAAUUUGUAAGUGUUUCAGCUGUAAAUGGGAAAAUUAGUUUUCUGAAGCCAGUAAGAGCUGCAAAAUUGAGAGUGAUUUGUAAAGCCAAGUUUAGGGAUUAAACUGAAAGAGGAAGAAAAUAAUCAAAAUUUUAUACUAUGCAAUCAGAAGGGAAAUCUCCAAGAACUGGUUCCUUUUGCAAUUACAAACAUGAAACCAUACCAAUGGUGGAAUUUUACAUAUCACUGAAAAGAAGGCAUUUAAAAUGUUCUGGGUCAUUACAAAUGGCUGUGUUUUUACUCUGAACCAUAGGGUGAUUCUAGAAUGAAGCUUACGAGUACAUAGAAUAGUUUCUUUCUGUUAGUGGCUAUAGCUUAGUUGAAGUUGUACAUGUUUUUCCUUGGCAAUUUUGCACAUUAAAUAAAAUAUGUCUUAAAAUCUA
Molecule: RNA transcript, 10749 nt
Organism: Chroicocephalus ridibundus (black-headed gull)
Lineage: Eukaryota; Metazoa; Chordata; Aves; Charadriiformes; Laridae
Gene name: KIAA1549 like
Exons: 22
Source: RefSeq, a predicted model, not a curated record